GAUGAACGCUGGCGGCGUGCCUAAUACAUGCAAGUCGAGCGAAUGGAUUAAGAGCUUGCUCUUAUGAAGUUAGCGGCGGACGGGUGAGUAACACGUGGGUAACCUGCCCAUAAGACUGGGAUAACUCCGGGAAACCGGGGCUAAUACCGGACAACAUUUUGAACCGCAUGGUUCGAAAUUGAAAGGCGGCUUCGGCUGUCGCUUAUGGAUGGACCCGCGUCGCAUUAGCUAGUUGGUGAGGUAACGGCUCACAAAGGCAACGAUGCUUAGCCGACCUGAGAGGGUGAUCGGCCACACUGGGACUGAGACACGGCCCAGACUCCUACGGGAGGCAGCAGUAGGGAAUCUUCCGCAAUGGACGAAAGUCUGACGGAGCAACGCCGCGUGAGUGAUGAAGGCUUUCGGGUCGUAAAACUCUGUUGUUAGGGAAGAACAAGUGCUAGUUGAAUAAGCUGGCACCUUGACGGUACCUGCAGAAAAAGCACCGGCUAACUACGUGCCAGCAGCCGCCGCUG
Molecule: ribosomal RNA, 515 nt
Filed under: uncultured bacterium
Lineage: Bacteria
Description: partial 16S ribosomal RNA
Rfam family: Bacterial small subunit ribosomal RNA
Source: RNAcentral